Long non-coding RNA from Hemibagrus wyckioides, 1604 nucleotides. RefSeq lists it as uncharacterized. The record is from RefSeq and is a predicted model, not a curated record. The transcript has 3 exons. NCBI's taxonomy places the organism in Eukaryota, Metazoa, Chordata, Actinopteri, Siluriformes, Bagridae.
UCGAGUCUCCUGCUUGUAGUCCAUGUGAUGUUCUGCUCUUGUCAGGACCGUGUUACAGCAAGACAAAAGUCACAACUCAUCCAGAUAGUUGAAGACACUUAAGGACUUUUAUUUUGAAGCCUCGGUUCCGGGUCUCGUGCAGAUGCUGAUUUAGCGGGAGGGUUUUUAGUGAAGAAAGUUAGCGGUAAGCACGGACAUUAUGGAUGCUCUGAUAAAAGUUUAUUCUAGUCAUAAAAAGAACUUAAACUAUCAUAAAGAAGAUUUAAAGACUAUUUCCCUUUCUCACAGCAUGCAGCCAACGAGGUAUUUGUUUAUUUGUCUGUAUUUUCUGUCUGUAAACUGCCAUUGCUUCUGUUCCUCACGCUUUCACUGUGUGUCAAGAUAAUGUGUUUGUUGUGUUUUGUUGUUACUGUGUUUAGUUUUCACGGUGGAUUUGAGGAAAAGUCUUCAAAUAAAUCAGUAACAGGAGAUCCGUGUGUGUGUUGAUGAUCUUGGAGACGGUCAUGUCAUCAAUACACUUGUCGAUGUAGCCGGUCACUGAUCCCGUGUUCUCCUCCAAGUUGAUAGAGUCUCCGUUGGUUGCAGCCUCCCUGAACAUAUUCCAGUCAGUGAACUCAAAACAGUCCUGAAGAGCAGAGGUGACUCCUGCUGACCAGGUUUUCUACUGUUUCAGAACCGGUUUAGAGCGUCUGACCAGCGGUCUGUAUGCUGGAAUUAACAUAACAGAGAUGUUGUCACCAUUCUGUGUUGAUGUAAACACACACACCACCACCCCGAGUCUUACCGCACAGAGCUGCAUUUCUGUCGGCAAGAAACAAUGAGAGCCCGGCUAUCUGAAUGGCGGCGUCUGGAACUCUGUUGGUGAGCCACGCCUCUGUGAAAACAGACGCAGCAGUCUCUAAACUCUCGCCGUGUUUACUGGAGUCGGACGUGGUCUGGUUUAUUGUCCAUUGAGCAAACGUUGGACAGAAUAAUGGACGGGAGAGCCGGCCAGCUAGGUUUUGUUUUAGCCUAGCACGGACACCUGCCCGCUUUCCACACCUUCCGCCUUCCUCAAGCACCGCUUGCGACAUCCCCUCUCCUGGCCACCAGCAUCAGGUGACGCUGAGGUCUGAAGGCCUGGUCUUCACAGCAAGCCGAGGUUCAGAAGUUUUCUGAGUAAAUCAUCAUUAUGGAAGUGGCAUCUUUGGUCCUUGAACAUUUAUGCUGCAGUAAUGAAAUGGAGCAAAGACACAGCCGAGGAGACGAUCAAACAACAUGCUUCAGAUCUCCUUAAUCAUGCAGCAGUGAGAGAGAGAGGGAUUGGUGUUUAUUUAUUCAUUUUUAUCCACUGCAGUGUGAGGUAAUUAUCAGGUUUGUUUAUCACUUUCUCAAACACACACACACACUUACACUCUAUAUUAUUCCACUCCCUUCACAAUUUUCCCACAUUUCUUUUUAGACUGCUGCUACAACAAUAAAACACAAUGAUCUGUUUUUCUGUUAACUGUGUAUUGUGUUUACAUCCACAGCAUUUUACUAUUGCACUUUAUUCAUUACAAAACUGUGUAGUGGUCAGUGCUGCACUGUCCCUGGUCAGUUAUUGUACUGUACUGUACUGUCUU